Molecule: ribosomal RNA, 478 nt
Filed under: uncultured bacterium
Lineage: Bacteria
Description: partial 16S ribosomal RNA
Rfam family: Bacterial small subunit ribosomal RNA
Source: RNAcentral
GAUGAACGCUGGCGGCGUGCUUAACACAUGCAAGUCGAACGGGAAACCUUUUAUUGAAGCUUCGGCAGAUUUAGCUGGUUUCUAGUGGCGGACGGGUGAGUAACGCGUGGGUAACCUGCCUUAUACAGGGGGAUAACAACCAGAAAUGGUUGCUAAUACCGCAUAAGCGCACAGGACCGCAUGGUCCGGUGUGAAAAACUCCGGUGGUAUAAGAUGGACCCGCGUUGGAUUAGCUAGUUGGCAGGGUAACGGCCUACCAAGGCGACGAUCCAUAGCCGGCCUGAGAGGGUGAGCGGCCACAUUGGGACUGAGACACGGCCCAGACUCCUACGGGAAGCAGCAGUGGGGAAUAUUGCACAAUGGGGGAAACCCUGAUGCAGCGACGCCGCGUGAAGGAAGAAGUAUCUCGGUAUGUAAACUUCUAUCAGCAGGGAAGAUAGUGACGGUACCUGACUAAGAAGCCCCGGCUAACUACGUG